This 232-nucleotide ribosomal RNA is filed under the name uncultured bacterium. Its description in RNAcentral is "partial 16S ribosomal RNA". It matches the Rfam family "Bacterial small subunit ribosomal RNA", at positions 100 to 334 of the family's 1533-position model. The record is from RNAcentral.
CGGGACGGGUGAGUAAUGUCUGGGAAACUGCCUGAUGGGAGGGGGAUACACUGGAAACGGUAGCUAAUACCGCAUAACGUCGCAAGACCAAAGAGGGGGACCUUCGGGCCUCUUGCCAUCGGAUGUGCCCAGAUGGGAUUAGCUAGUAGGUGGGGUAACGGCUCACCUAGGCGACGAUCCCUAGCUGGUCUGAGAGGAUGACCAGCCACACUGGAACUGAGACACGGUCCAG